UACGUAGGGGCAAGCGUUGUCCGGAUUUAUUGGGCGUAAAGAGCGUGUAGGCGGCUUUACAGGUCCGUUGUGAAAACUCGAGGCUCAACCUCGAGACGCCGGUGGAAACCGUAAGGCUAGAGUCCGGAAGAGGAGAGUGGAAUUCCGGGUGUAGCGGUGGAAUGCGUAGAGAUCCGGAAGAACACCGGUGGCGAAGGCGGUCUGCUGGGCAGUUGCUGACGCUGAUGCGCGACAGCGUGGGAGCAACAGG
RNAcentral lists this ribosomal RNA (250 nucleotides) under uncultured bacterium. RNAcentral describes it as "partial 16S ribosomal RNA". It matches the Rfam family "Bacterial small subunit ribosomal RNA", at positions 524 to 776 of the family's 1533-position model. The record is from RNAcentral.